Molecule: ribosomal RNA, 1493 nt
Filed under: metagenome
Description: bacterial SSU rRNA
Rfam family: Bacterial small subunit ribosomal RNA
Source: RNAcentral
GGCGUGCCUCAGACAUGCAAGUCGAACGCGAAAGUCUCCUUCGGGGGAUAGGUAGAGUGGCGCACGGGUGAGUAACACGUAGGUAAUCUACCUUCGGGUGGGGAAUAACAACCGGAAACGGUUGCUAAUACCGCAUAAUGCAGCGGCACCUAAUGGUGACAGUUGUUAAAGCGGGGGAUCGAAAGAUCUCGCGCCUGAAGAGGAGCCUGCGGCGGAUUAGCUAGUUGGUAGGGUAAUGGCCUACCAAGGCGACGAUCCGUAGCCGGCCUGAGAGGGCGGUCGGCCACACUGACACUGACAUACGGGUCAGACUCCUACGGGAGGCAGCAGUCGGGAAUUUUGGGCAAUGGGCGAAAGCCUGACCCAGCAACGCCGCGUGAAGGAUGAAAUCCCUCGGGAUGUAAACUUCGCAAGAACGGGAAGAAUAAGUUUGUGCUAACACCACAAGCGAUGACGGUACUGUUUGUAAGCUCCGGCUAACUCCGUGCCAGCAGCCGCGGUAAUACGGGGGGAGCAAGCGUUGUUCGGAUUAACUGGGCGUAAAGGGCGCGUAGGCGGCCUCCGCAAGUCAGUUGUGAAAUCUCCGAGCUUAACUCGGAAAGGUCAACUGAUACUGCGGGGCUAGAGUGCGGAAGGGGCAACUGGAAUUCUUGGUGUAGCGGUGAAAUGCGUAGAUAUCAAGAGGAACACCUGCGGCGAAGGCGGGUUGCUGGGCCGACACUGACGCUGAGGCGCGAAAGCUAGGGGAGCGAACGGGAUUAGAUACCCCGGUAGUCCUAGCCUUAAACGAUGAAUGCUUGGUGUCUGGGGUUAUAUAGUCCCCGGGUGCCGUCGCUAACGCUUUAAGCAUUCCGCCUGGGGAGUACGGUCGCAAGACUGAAACUCAAAGGAAUUGACGGGUACCCGCACAAGCGGUGGAGCAUGUGGUUUAAUUCGACACUACGCGAAGAACCUUAUCCUGGGCUUGACAUGUGCGAAAGCGGUAGGAAGUAGCUUGCGGAAACGUGGAGCGAACGGUAUCCAGUCCGGAACCUACUACAGGUGCUGCAUGGCUGUCGUCAGCUCGUGUCGUGAGAUGUCGGGUUAAGUCCCAUAACGAGCGAAACCCCUGUCUCCAGUUGCCAGCGAGUAAUGUCGGGAACUCUGGAGAGACUGCCGGUGUUAAACCGGAGGAAGGUGGGGAUGACGUCAAGUCCUCAUGGCCUUUACGCCCAGGGCUGCACACGUGCUACAAUGGCGUAUACAAAGGGACGCAAGGGCGCGAGCCGGAGCAAAUCCCAAAAAAUACGCCCCAGUUCAGAUUGAAGGCUGCAACUCGCCUUCAUGAAGUUGGAAUCGCUAGUAAUCGCGGGUCAGCAACACCGCGGUGAAUGUGUUCCUGAGCCUUGUACACACCGCCCGUCAAGCCACGAAAGGGAGGGACGGCCGAAGUCGCCACACCAAGUUGGCGCCGACGCCGGACUUCCUGAUUGGGACUAAGUCGUAACAAGGUA